This 24-nucleotide non-coding RNA is filed under the name Arabidopsis thaliana (thale cress). The record is from RNAcentral. Lineage: Eukaryota; Viridiplantae; Streptophyta; Magnoliopsida; Brassicales; Brassicaceae.
UUAGGAGAUUGUUAAGACCAAAUU